Non-coding RNA from Pantherophis guttatus, 254 nucleotides. Lineage: Eukaryota; Metazoa; Chordata; Lepidosauria; Squamata; Colubridae. The record is from RefSeq and is a predicted model, not a curated record.
GGCCUUCUCAGGAGUCGUUGCGUAAUUUUCGAGUCGGGUUAGCGGUUUCUCAACUGUGUGUGCUUGAAAAGCUAUGGAGACCUCUAUUUAUAAUUGUGAGACCACAUUAUCCACAGGACUGAUAGACACAUCCAAAGACCGGAGCCCUACUUAACUGGAUUUUCACUGGAUCCCUCAAAUAAAACAGACAGAAGAAAUUUGAUCCAUUAUUCUGUUCCUCAAUGAACAAUGAAUAAAGCAUAGUGGUUCUUGCA